GACGAACGCUGGCGGCGUGCUUAACACAUGCAAGUCGAGCGAUGAAGCACCUUCGGGUGUGAAUUAGCGGCGAACGGGUGAGGAACACGUGAGAAAUCUGCCUUCAACUCUGGGAUAACUCCGGGAAACCGGGGCUAAUACCGGAUAUGAGCCUUGAUCGCAUGAUCGGGGCUGGAAAGUUUUUCGGUUGAAGAUGAUCUCGCGGCCUAUCAGCUUGUUGGUGAGGUAAUGGCUCACCAAGGCGACGACGGGUAGCCGGCCUGAGAGGGCGACCGGCCACACUGGGACUGGGACACGGCCAAGACUCCUAAGGGAGGCAGCAGUGGGGAAUAUUGGGCAAUGGAGGAAACUCUGACCCAGCGACGCCGCGUGAGGGAUGAAGGCCUUCGGGUUGUAAACCUCUUUCAGUAGGGAAGAAGCGAAAGUGACGGUACCUACAGAAGAAGCACCGGCUAACUAUGUGCCAGCAGCCGCGGUAA
Molecule: ribosomal RNA, 479 nt
Filed under: uncultured bacterium
Lineage: Bacteria
Description: partial 16S ribosomal RNA
Rfam family: Bacterial small subunit ribosomal RNA
Source: RNAcentral